CGGCCCAGUACGUCACCGUGCAUCACCGUGCGUCACCUGUCGGCGCCGCGGCCGUUACCCGCGCGGCGAGCACUUCCGCGUUCUGGUUGCGUAGCAGGGCAGAGGCUUGGUGCUGUGACCACUUCCUUGGGGAGCCUGUUCCAGUGACUGACCACCCUCUCAGUGAAGAACCUUUUCCUAAUGUCCAGUCUGAACUUCUCCUGACACAGCGUCACUUCAUUUGUGUCCUGUCACUGGUCACCAGAGAGAUCAGCGCCUCCCCCUCUGCUGCCCCCCUUGAGGAAGUUGUAGUCUGCGAUGAGGUCACCUCUCAGCCUUCUCCAAGCUGAACAAACUAAGUGACCUCGCUCCUCAUAAGUCUUGCCCUCGAGGCCUUUCACCAUUUUGGUUGCCCAACACCAAUGUUGGGCCCUGGGACCCCAGAGGCCUUUCCUCAGAAGAGAGCUGCUGCAGUCCCCCAGUCGUCUUCAUAGCUUAAAUUCCCAUACUUCGGAGUUGCUUGCUCCUGCGCUCUUGUGUUCAGUUCUUUAGUGUGUGCCCCUAUACAGAUUAGUACCUGAUUUUAAGUUCUGAAUUAAAGUUGUGACAUUUACCUAUA
Phalacrocorax carbo (great cormorant) is the source of this 598-nucleotide non-coding RNA. NCBI's taxonomy places the organism in Eukaryota, Metazoa, Chordata, Aves, Suliformes, Phalacrocoracidae. The record is from RefSeq and is a predicted model, not a curated record.